Molecule: small nucleolar RNA, 139 nt
Filed under: Sorghum bicolor (sorghum)
Lineage: Eukaryota; Viridiplantae; Streptophyta; Magnoliopsida; Poales; Poaceae
Description: Small nucleolar RNA Z247
Rfam family: Small nucleolar RNA Z247
About the family: Z247 is a member of the C/D class of snoRNA which contain the C (UGAUGA) and D (CUGA) box motifs. Most of the members of the box C/D family function in directing site-specific 2'-O-methylation of substrate RNAs.
Source: Rfam by way of RNAcentral
AAGUUCGAAGAUGAGGAGCUGAUCUCCUACAUCUUGACUGGGCUGGACAAGGAGUUUGAUUGUGUGGUGAUUGCGGUGGCGACGUGAGUUGAGUCGAUCAUCGUGAACGAGCUUUACACGUAGCUUGUUUCAUUCGAGC